CAGAGUAGGGCCCGCAGCGUGAAGUGCUUCCGGAACGGGGAGUUGAACGGAGGACGAAGGCAGACGCCGCGGUUACGGGCCCGCACCCGCUG
This 92-nucleotide non-coding RNA is filed under the name bovine gut metagenome. RNAcentral describes it as "THF riboswitch". It matches the Rfam family "THF (Tetrahydrofolate) riboswitch aptamer". Rfam says of the family: THF riboswitch presents a pseudoknot that joins P1-P2 and the loop of P3 and two THF binding. The record is from RNAcentral.